ACAUUAGAUACCCCUGUAGUCCCAGCCGUAAACUAUGCGCGUUAGGUGUACUGGUGACCACGAGUCACCGGGGUGCCGAAGGGAAACCGUGAAACGUGCCGCCUGGGAAGUACGGUCGCAAGGCUGAAACUUAAAGGAAUUGGCGGGGGGAGCACCACAACGGGAGGAGCGUGCGGUUUAAUUGGAUUCAACACCGUAAACUCACCAGGGAAGACUGUUACAUGAAAGCCGAGUUGAAGACUCUGCUAGAUUUUCAG
This 257-nucleotide ribosomal RNA is filed under the name uncultured archaeon. RNAcentral describes it as "partial 16S ribosomal RNA". It matches the Rfam family "Archaeal small subunit ribosomal RNA", at positions 726 to 982 of the family's 1478-position model. The record is from RNAcentral.